Non-coding RNA from Pelodiscus sinensis (Chinese soft-shelled turtle), 1551 nucleotides. NCBI's taxonomy places the organism in Eukaryota, Metazoa, Chordata, Testudines, Trionychidae. The record is from RefSeq and is a predicted model, not a curated record.
AUUAGAUUUAUUUAUUCCUCCUCCAUUACUGAGUUUCUGCCUGGAGCAGGUUAUAAAGCUAUAAGCAUGGAUAUAUAGUCACUUUCACUGAAGAUUCAUCUCCAUUGUGCAAUCCUCUAUCUCCGGUGAUCCCUCAAGUCAGUUACUGAGACCAGACUGGAUAAGCAAGCUGUGAUUCCUCUGGUUCAUUGAAGGAGGGAUUGGUUGAGAAAGCAGGUGAAAAAGGACAAGGGGUUAUUUACUGUGCAGCAAAAAUUCAGAUUAAGGACCAGACAUUCCAGUUUUGAUCCAUGGAGUUUUCUCCACUCCCUUGCUAAGGCAUAAGGUAGUAACCAGCAUCUUGAACUUGUGGGUGCUCCAAAGAUCAUUUUCAUAUGUUUAGAAACAACAGCAGCAUUGUUCACAAGCAGGCCCAGUCCCUCCUCUGCACAAAUAUGUUACUGUUCAGUUUCUGCCAGUAGCCCCAAAACCUCUCAGGAGGAAAUUGCAGCUGAGGAGGUAUAGAUAAUGCGGGUUUAAGCAGCAGGAGCAUUUAGGCGAAUUUCAGCUCAUGAAUCUGCAUGCACUUGGGGAGAGCAAAGGCUGAUUCCCAGCUUUGCUCUAUUUCCUGUCUUCCAAGAGACACACAAGGGAUCUGUGAGAUCUUGCAUGUGGGAAAUGGACGCAUGGUGCCUGCCCCCUGUAAAUGAAGCAGGGUGCAGCUUUACUCUACCAGAGCAGGUGCUCUCAGUUUGGCCAGGUAAGAGUGUGGGGGCAACACCUGACGAAUCCAAGCUUCCUGAAAGGCAGGAGAAAACAGUCUGGCAGGUGAGAGUUGCCAGAGCCCAGAAUGUGUUUCCUGGGGAAAGGCUGAUUGCAAGGAGAGCAGCAAGGAGAAUAUGCUUGAUGUCUCCAAGACAGAGAGGAUGGGCUGUUGUAUUAACUUAGAUGGAAGAAACAGGUCAAAGGUGUUAAUGUAAUAACAAAUCUAAUAACAAAUAGUCACUGUCCAAUAACAAAUAGUGUUAUACAAAGGUCAGAAUUUGUUGUACCAAGACCUUAGCCUGUUUCAGUAAUAUGGCAAAUACACUAUUAAAUAUCCUUUUAAUAAAGGUAAAGAUGGAAAAAAACUGUUAAGGAUUUGAAAUGUAAAAUACUAAGACCUUCAUUUUAAUGCAACCUUUGUUUCUUUUCACUUUAGGUGGAAAAAGAUUUAGAAAAGGAAAUAAAACUCUGUUUGACAGUAUCUUUGAUUAUAUCAAAGGUGGUAGUAAUUGGGCUUUUUUGGGAGGGGGAGACAAGACAGAGUGACAUUAACACAGUCCUUGAAUUAUAUAUUUAUAAAUGAUGUACUAGAAGAUUUACGUAGCAUUAAUGGAGGUGGGGAGAAGCUAUGGAGCAUGGUGGAUGGCAGCUCCUGGUUGCUUCCUGGGCUCUGCCUGGAGUGGAGGGGCCUGGGCUGCUGGCCAGCAGCUGCUCCCCAGGACUGGGAAAAUUGCUGCCCCCAUGUGGUCAUUCAUGAGCGUUACUACCCCGCUAUCACACAUCUCCCUUUCCAUUUGAUGUGAAACA